UCCCCCCAUUUCCCUUUUGGGAGUAGGUUUCCACCGCCGCCAGAAUGGAGCCAUUGGUGACUGUCCAGCCCAAAGCAAACGGGAGGAGGAGCAGUGGCUUUCGGGGUACAAAGGCAUGCCCGGUGCACCCCGCGAGAGGCCGAGCGUGGACAGAGCCGGGGCCGCGCAGGGCCCCUUUCCAUUCUUGAGGCUCUCCCUCCUCGCCAGCCCCGGGAGGCCCAGCCUCCCCCCGCCCCCCAACCAGAUCUCCAGCAACACAGCAGCCCCCCGCGGAGCAAGGAAGAGGCCUCCUCUGAGUGAAUGGCUGGUCUUGCUUCUCUCCAUGGUCCUCUUGUCUAGCCAAUAUGCUCUUCAGACCAGCACUCGAAGGGACGGGGUGACAGUUUUCAGGGUCUCUAACUUGCA
Molecule: long non-coding RNA, 405 nt
Organism: Psammomys obesus (fat sand rat)
Lineage: Eukaryota; Metazoa; Chordata; Mammalia; Rodentia; Muridae
Exons: 3
Source: RefSeq, a predicted model, not a curated record